AUACGUAGGGUGCGAGCGUUGUCCGGAAUUACUGGGCGUAAAGAGCUCGUAGGUGGUUUGUCGCGUCGUCUGUGAAAUUCCGGGGCUUAACUCCGGGCGUGCAGGCGAUACGGGCAUAACUUGAGUACUGUAGGGGAGACUGGAAUUCCUGGUGUAGCGGUGAAAUGCGCAGAUAUCAGGAGGAACACCGGUGGCGAAGGCGGGUCUCUGGGCAGUAACGGACGCUGAGGAGCGAAAGCAUGGGUAGCGAACAGGAUUAGAUACCCUGGUAGUCCAUGCCGUAAACGGUGGGCGCUAGGUGUAGGGGUCUUGCACGACUUCUGUGCCGUAGCAAACGCAUUAAGCGCCCCGCCUGGGGAGUACGGCCGCGAGGCUAAAACUCAAAUGAAUUGGCGGGG
RNAcentral lists this ribosomal RNA (398 nucleotides) under uncultured bacterium. RNAcentral describes it as "partial 16S ribosomal RNA". It matches the Rfam family "Bacterial small subunit ribosomal RNA", at positions 523 to 918 of the family's 1533-position model. The record is from RNAcentral.